Molecule: ribosomal RNA, 152 nt
Filed under: Trichoderma harzianum
Lineage: Eukaryota; Fungi; Ascomycota; Sordariomycetes; Hypocreales; Hypocreaceae
Also listed under: 2 other names
Description: 5.8S ribosomal RNA
Rfam family: 5.8S ribosomal RNA
About the family: 5.8S ribosomal RNA (5.8S rRNA) is a component of the large subunit of the eukaryotic ribosome. It is transcribed by RNA polymerase I as part of the 45S precursor that also contains 18S and 28S rRNA.
Source: RNAcentral
AACUUUCAACAACGGAUCUCUUGGUUCUGGCAUCGAUGAAGAACGCAGCGAAAUGCGAUAAGUAAUGUGAAUUGCAGAAUUCAGUGAAUCAUCGAAUCUUUGAACGCACAUUGCGCCCGCCAGUAUUCUGGCGGGCAUGCCUGUCCGAGCGU